RNAcentral lists this ribosomal RNA (304 nucleotides) under uncultured bacterium. RNAcentral's name for it is "partial 16S ribosomal RNA". It matches the Rfam family "Bacterial small subunit ribosomal RNA", at positions 506 to 807 of the family's 1533-position model. The record is from RNAcentral.
CAGCAGUAGCCACGGGAACACAGAGGGUGCGAGCGUUAAUCGGAUUUACUGGGCGUAAAGCGUGCGUAGGCGGCUUCUUAAGUCGGAUGUGAAAUCCCUGAGCUUAACUUAGGAAUUGCAUUCGAUACUGGGAAGCUAGAGUAUGGGAGAGGAUGGUAGAAUUCCAGGUGUAGCGGUGAAAUGCGUAGAGAUCUGGAGGAAUACCGAUGGCGAAGGCAGCCAUCUGGCCUAAUACUGACGCUGAGGUACGAAAGCAUGGGGAGCAAACAGGAUUAGAUACCCCCGUAGUCCCUGUCUCUUAUAC